This 576-nucleotide ribosomal RNA is filed under the name uncultured bacterium. RNAcentral describes it as "bacterial SSU rRNA". It matches the Rfam family "Bacterial small subunit ribosomal RNA", at positions 338 to 916 of the family's 1533-position model. The record is from RNAcentral.
CCUACGGGAGGCAGCAGUGAGGAAUAUUGGACAAUGGGCGCAAGCCUGAUCCAGCCAUGCCGCGUGCAGGAUGACGGUCCUAUGGAUUGUAAACUGCUUUUAUACGAGAAGAAACACUGCUUCGUGAAGCAGCUUGACGGUAUCGUAAGAAUAAGGAUCGGCUAACUCCGUGCCAGCAGCCGCGGUAAUACGGAGGAUCCAAGCGUUAUCCGGAAUCAUUGGGUUUAAAGGGUCCGUAGGCGGUUUAAUAAGUCAGUGGUGAAAGCCCAUCGCUCAACGGUGGAACGGCCAUUGAUACUGUUAGACUUGAAUUAUUAGGAAGUAACUAGAAUAUGUAGUGUAGCGGUGAAAUGCUUAGAGAUUACAUGGAAUACCAAUUGCGAAGGCAGGUUACUACUAAUGGAUUGACGCUGAUGGACGAAAGCGUGGGUAGCGAACAGGAUUAGAUACCCUGGUAGUCCACGCCGUAAACGAUGGAUACUAGCUGUUGGGUGCAAACUCAGUGGCUAAGCGAAAGUGAUAAGUAUCCCACCUGGGGAGUACGUUCGCAAGAAUGAAACUCAAAGGAAUUGACGG